CCUGCACUCAAGUUAUGUUUUUAUUUUACAGCCUUUUGAUACCUUCAAAUUAUUCUAAACUGACUAACAAUUUAACCUGUAUAACCGGCUGGUUCAUAUUUUAAACAUUGUUCAAUGAGCAACUUAAUUAGCGCCAAAUAAAUGCCUGUCAUGGGGGCUUCCGGACACACGGUCCUGAAAAGUGUCCGUAAAAAGUGUUAGCUUUGUCGCUAGUGUUAACGUUAGCUAGCUAAUUCAACCAUGCUAUGACAACACGGUGGCAUGAAUUCCCACCAACAGAGGAGUUUCACCUCAAGGCUACCAGCCGUCUGUCAGCACUGGUAAACUGGAUAGUAAAGGAAAGAUCAAGGCUCAACAGAUCAACAGCAGCAAGCCAAUAAUGACAAAGCAGACUGAAUACUGGGAAGUUGGGAAACAAAACACAACGGCUGAGUUCACCCUGAGUCUAUAAGGGACUAAAGACAGAGGAUAUGCCUAUAAUUAGAUAGAGAGACACUGUCAAUUCCCCAUCGAUCCUCUGUGUUUUUCCUAUGCUGUGCCAGCCUGACUGCAGGGAAUACCUGCUGCUCUGCAGUCGCUAUAGACUUAGAAUUAGAUAAAGUCAUUUAGUCAUCUCUUCACUUGCAAAAGUCAUUAUUGUGCAUGUAUUCAUCUCUGGCACUAAGCAGUGACAAUUAUUGUCACCUUGCUGCUUCACUAAAACAAUACUGGAUUGUUUUGUAUUGCUUGAUCAUUCCGUCGAUGUGACUGACCAACAAAGGCAGCUAUAAUCAUUAUUAGAGUAAUUAAAGUCAUUUUGUCCAAAAAUGCCAAAAAAUCCCCUAGUUCCAGCCUCUGAAUUGUGAGAAUUUGUUGCUUUUUUGUCUUAUGUGAGAGUACACUGAAUAUCUUUGGGGUUGGCACUGUUGGCUGGACCAAACAAGACAUUUGAAGAUGCUACCUUGGGCUU
This is a long non-coding RNA of Siniperca chuatsi (mandarin fish), 949 nucleotides long. RefSeq lists it as uncharacterized. The record is from RefSeq and is a predicted model, not a curated record. The transcript is spliced from 3 exons. Lineage: Eukaryota; Metazoa; Chordata; Actinopteri; Centrarchiformes; Sinipercidae.